This 270-nucleotide ribosomal RNA is filed under the name uncultured soil bacterium. RNAcentral's name for it is "partial 16S ribosomal RNA". It matches the Rfam family "Bacterial small subunit ribosomal RNA", at positions 26 to 328 of the family's 1533-position model. The record is from RNAcentral.
AGAGUGAACGCUGGCGGUGCGCCUAAAACAUGCAAGUCGAGUGGGUUUAGACCCACGGCAAACGGCUGAGUAACACAUGGGUACCUACCCCGAACUCAGGGAUAUCCCGCCGAAAGGCGGAGUAAUACCGGAUAGUUCCGCAAGGAUAAAGCUUUAGCGGUUCGGGAGGGGCCUGUGCCCUAUCAGAUAGUUGGUGAGGUAACGGCUUACCAAGUCAAUGACGGGUAACUGGUCUGAGAGGACGGCCAGUCAGAAUGGAACUGAGACACG